RNAcentral lists this ribosomal RNA (101 nucleotides) under Shewanella xiamenensis. Its description in RNAcentral is "partial 16S ribosomal RNA". It matches the Rfam family "Bacterial small subunit ribosomal RNA", at positions 1433 to 1533 of the family's 1533-position model. Lineage: Bacteria; Pseudomonadati; Pseudomonadota; Gammaproteobacteria; Alteromonadales; Shewanellaceae. RNAcentral also lists the same sequence under 2 other names. The record is from RNAcentral.
GCUUAACCUUCGGGGGGGCGCUCACCACUUUGUGGUUCAUGACUGGGGUGAAGUCGUAACAAGGUAGCCCUAGGGGAACCUGGGGCUGGAUCACCUCCUUA